Molecule: ribosomal RNA, 1372 nt
Filed under: uncultured bacterium
Lineage: Bacteria
Description: bacterial SSU rRNA
Rfam family: Bacterial small subunit ribosomal RNA
Source: RNAcentral
GAUGAACGCUGGCGGCGUGCCUAAUACAUGCAAGUCGAGCGAACGGACGAGAAGCUUGCUUCUCUGAUGUUAGCGGCGGACGGGUGAGUAACACGUGGAUAACCUACCUAUAAGACUGGGAUAACUUCGGGAAACCGUAGCUAAUACCGGAUAAUAUUUUGAACCGCAUGGUUCAAAAGUGAAAGACGGUCUUGCUGUCACUUAUAGAUGGAUCCGCGCUGCAUUAGCUAGUUGGUAAGGUAACGGCUUACCAAGGCAACGAUGCAUAGCCGACCUGAGAGGGUGAUCGGCCACACUGGAACUGAGACACGGUCCAGACUCCUACGGGAGGCAGCAGUAGGGAAUCUUCCGCAAUGGGCGAAAGCCUGACGGAGCAACGCCGCGUGAGUGAUGAAGGUCUUCGGAUCGUAAAACUCUGUUAUUAGGGAAGAACAUAUGUGUAAGUAACUGUGCACAUCUUGACGGUACCUAAUCAGAAAGCCACGGCUAACUACGUGCCAGCAGCCGCGGUAAUACGUAGGUGGCAAGCGUUAUCCGGAAUUAUUGGGCGUAAAGCGCGCGUAGGCGGUUUUUUAAGUCUGAUGUGAAAGCCCACGGCUCAACCGUGGAGGGUCAUUGGAAACUGGAAAACUUGAGUGCAGAAGAGGAAAGUGGAAUUCCAUGUGUAGCGGUGAAAUGCGCAGAGAUAUGGAGGAACACCAGUGGCGAAGGCGACUUUCUGGUCUGUAACUGACGCUGAUGUGCGAAAGCGUGGGGAUCAAACAGGAUUAGAUACCCUGGUAGUCCACGCCGUAAACGAUGAGUGCUAAGUGUUAGGGGGUUUCCGCCCCUUAGUGCUGCAGCUAACGCAUUAAGCACUCCGCCUGGGGAGUACGACCGCAAGGUUGAAACUCAAAGGAAUUGACGGGGACCCGCACAAGCGGUGGAGCAUGUGGUUUAAUUCGAAGCAACGCGAAGAACCUUACCAAAUCUUGACAUCCUUUGACAACUCUAGAGAUAGAGCUUUCCCCUUCGGGGGACAAAGUGACAGGUGGUGCAUGGUUGUCGUCAGCUCGUGUCGUGAGAUGUUGGGUUAAGUCCCGCAACGAGCGCAACCCUUAAGCUUAGUUGCCAUCAUUAAGUUGGGCACUCUAAGUUGACUGCCGGUGACAAACCGGAGGAAGGUGGGGAUGACGUCAAAUCAUCAUGCCCCUUAUGAUUUGGGCUACACACGUGCUACAAUGGACAAUACAAAGGGCAGCGAAACCGUGAGGUCAAGCAAAUCCCAUAAAGUUGUUCUCAGUUCGGAUUGUAGUCUGCAACUCGACUACAUGAAGCUGGAAUCGCUAGUAAUCGUAGAUCAGCAUGCUACGGUGAAUACGUUCCCGGGUCU